AGUGAACGCUGGCGGUAGGCCUAACACAUGCAAGUCGAACGGCAGCACAGUAAGAGCUUGCUCUUACGGGUGGCGAGUGGCGGACGGGUGAGGAAUACAUCGGAAUCUACUUUUUCGUGGGGGAUAACGUAGGGAAACUUACGCUAAUGCCGCAUACGACCUACGGGUGAAAGCAGGGGAUCUUCGGACCUUGCGCGAUUGAAUGAGCCGAUGUCGGAUUAGCUAGUUGGCGGGGUAAAGGCCCACCAAGGCGACAAUCCGUAGCUGGUCUGAGAGGAUGAUCAGCCACACUGGAACUGAGACACGGUCCAGACUCCUACGGGAGGCAGCAGUGGGGAAUAUUGGACAAUGGGCGCAAGCCUGAUCCAGCCAUACCGCGUGGGUGAAGAAGGCCUUCGGGUUGUAAAGCCCUUUUGUUGGGAAAGAAAAGCAGCAGGUUAAUACCCCGCUGUUCUGACGGUACCCAAAGAAUAAGCACCGGCUAACUUCGUG
RNAcentral lists this ribosomal RNA (492 nucleotides) under uncultured bacterium. Its description in RNAcentral is "partial 16S ribosomal RNA". It matches the Rfam family "Bacterial small subunit ribosomal RNA", at positions 29 to 507 of the family's 1533-position model. The record is from RNAcentral.